AUGUUCUGUUUCUCUCCUGCUUGUACAAGAGGUCAUUUGUGGGAAGACAGUUGACAGUUGGAAGAAAAAAGAUGAUUCUAAGCACACUUAUGCCGUGAGUGCACACCCACCAUCUUUCCUUUCUCAUCUGCCUCGACAAGAGUAACUACAGAAUCGGCUGUGGAGGGAACAACGUUUACACUUCGGAGAUUAUUUGACGAUGGAAGGAUUUAUUGGCAAGGUGAAUGUGGCGUUGUAAGGGGCGCUCAUAGUCGUUCCAACAAGACACGAUUUGCUGACCCAUUAUAAGCGCAAACUCAGGACUUCGGUCGCCCUGCAAGGUGAAUGUGGCGUUGUAAGGGGCGCUCAUAGUCGUUCCAACAAGUCACGAUUUGCUGACCCAUUAUAAGCGCAAACUCGGGACUUUGGUCGCCCUGCAAGGUGAAUGUGGCGUUGUAAGGGGCGCUCAUAGUCGUUCCAACAAGGCAUUUUGCUGACAGCAAGGCGAUUUGCUGACCCAUUAGAAGCGCAAACUCGGGACUUUGGUCGCCCUGCAAGGUAUUCAUGCAUG
Engraulis encrasicolus (European anchovy) is the source of this 550-nucleotide long non-coding RNA. RefSeq lists it as uncharacterized. NCBI's taxonomy places the organism in Eukaryota, Metazoa, Chordata, Actinopteri, Clupeiformes, Engraulidae. The record is from RefSeq and is a predicted model, not a curated record. The transcript is spliced from 4 exons.